RNAcentral lists this ribosomal RNA (497 nucleotides) under uncultured bacterium. RNAcentral describes it as "partial 16S ribosomal RNA". It matches the Rfam family "Bacterial small subunit ribosomal RNA", at positions 28 to 507 of the family's 1533-position model. The record is from RNAcentral.
GAUGAACGCUGGCGGCGUGCCUAACACAUGCAAGUCGAGCGGACAGACAAUUAGCUUUUUCUCCUAACGGUGGCGGCUGACGGAUGGGUGACACGUAGAUAACCUUCUUAUAAUACUUGGAUAACUACGUGGAACCGGAUCUACUACCGGCUCAUAUAUCGAACCGCAGGGAUCAAUAGUUCUUGGCAGCUUUGCUGUCAGCAAUAGAUGUUUUCGCGCCGCAUUAGCUAGUUGGUAAGGUAACGGCUUACCAAGGCAACGAUGCGUAGCCGAACUGAGAGGGUGAUCGGCCACACUGGAACUGAGACACGGUCCAGACUCCUACGGGAGGCAGCAGUAGGGAAUAUUCGGCAAUGGGCGAAAGCCUGACGGAGCAACGCCGCGUGAGUGAAGAAGGUCUUCGGAUCGUAAAACUCUGUUAUUAGGAAAGAAAAAAUGUGUAAGUAACUAUGCACGUCUUGACGGUACCUAAUCAGAAAGCAACGGCUAACUACGUG